AUUGCUUUGGCAGAUUAGUGCAUUAAAUUUAGAAUUUAAAUAUUUUAUAAAUUAUAUAAAGUAAUA
This 66-nucleotide transfer RNA is filed under the name Eupelmus anpingensis. RNAcentral describes it as "tRNA-Leu". Lineage: Eukaryota; Metazoa; Arthropoda; Insecta; Hymenoptera; Eupelmidae. The record is from RNAcentral.